Molecule: ribosomal RNA, 390 nt
Filed under: Escherichia coli
Lineage: Bacteria; Pseudomonadati; Pseudomonadota; Gammaproteobacteria; Enterobacterales; Enterobacteriaceae
Description: bacterial SSU rRNA
Rfam family: Bacterial small subunit ribosomal RNA
Source: RNAcentral
AAAUUGAAGAGUUUGAUCAUGGCUCAGAUUGAACGCUGGCGGCAGGCCUAACACAUGCAAGUCGAACGGUAACAGGAAGCAGCUUGCUGCUUCGCUGACGAGUGGCGGACGGGUGAGUAAUGUCUGGGAAACUGCCUGAUGGAGGGGGAUAACUACUGGAAACGGUAGCUAAUACCGCAUAAUGUCGCAAGACCAAAGAGGGGGACCUUCGGGCCUCUUGCCAUCGGAUGUGCCCAGAUGGGAUUAGCUUGUUGGUGGGGUAACGGCUCACCAAGGCGACGAUCCCUAGCUGGUCUGAGAGGAUGACCAGCCACACUGGAACUGAGACACGGUCCAGACUCCUACGGGAGGCAGCAGUGGGGAAUAUUGCACAAUGGGCGCAAGCCUGAU